RNA transcript from Cyprinus carpio (common carp), 3064 nucleotides. RefSeq lists it as uncharacterized. NCBI's taxonomy places the organism in Eukaryota, Metazoa, Chordata, Actinopteri, Cypriniformes, Cyprinidae. The record is from RefSeq and is a predicted model, not a curated record.
GGUGGAAAUAUAAGCACAUGUAGUAUCGCUUUCUUGUACCAGGAACAUCAGAGCCGAUCCGUGUUCUGUUCUUUUUCUUUUUCUUUUCUUCUUUCCCCCUUUUAUCCUUACACUGACUUCUUUUUCAGAAAAGAGGGAAAGAAGAAAUCAAAAUUGAAUGAUUCACCAGGGGAUAAAAUUUUAAACAAUGGAAGCCUACUUUGCACUUACCCUGUUUGUUUUUCUUUUUAAUGGUGUGGCUGCUGAUGAUGUGAUAUCAAUCUCAGUUAUGCAGGAAAAUUCAGUUGCUUUGUCCUCUGAUGUUACCAAACAACAACGUGACAAGAUGCUGUGGUAUUUUAAUGACACUCUGAUAGCUCUGAUCAAUGGAGAGCCCAGUAAAAGUUGUCUGUAUUAUGGUGAAGGUGAGAUCUUCAGAGACAGACUAAAGGUGGACUAUGCAACUGGAUCUCUGACCAUCACAAACACCAGUCCUGAACACUCUGGGCGUUAUGAAGCCAAUUUCAUCCAAAGCAAGAGCUCAGGAACCAGCCAAAGCUUGAACCGAAACGGCAAGUGUGACAGCACAAAAAUCAUCAAAAAAACGAGCAACAUUGGCGACAGCGUAAAAACAUUCAGUGUUUCUGUCACUGCUUCUCUGUCUGAUCCAGUCAACAUCAAUGAAGAAUUGUUCAAUAUGGAGAAGGAGCAAGAGUCUGAAGAGAAUUCAGAACGGUCUUUAAUUCUUGUAGCAGUAAUAUGUGCUGGUGCUGGUUUUGUUCUGAUGCUGGCUGUAGUUGGUGUUGGUGUGAUGAUCUAUCGCCGCAGGAGCUCUAAUAAAGAAGACAGAAAGAUAAACUCAUCUGAGCAUCUGCUGAAAGUCCCAAUAUGAGAAAGAGAGAGGUCGCUUUGUCUAAGAGCAUCUCAACUGGAUCAGCCCAAAUAUUAUUUAUGAUUUAGUCACAAUUAGCCUCUUUAUUGUCUUUAUUUCUUCUUCUUCUUCUUCUUCUUUUCUUCUUCCCUUAAAGUGUGGCCAAAAAUCAUAAACUUGGCAGGAUGGUCCCAGUCGUGCACCGCUACUCAGCCCAGACGCACAUCCGUCCGAUACUAGGUGGCGCUAUAACAAGCUGAACAGUAUGGGCAUGAUUUCUUUGGAAGUGUGCUGCUGUAACCUCUCUCAUCAAACCCGAUCACCGAAGAUUCAAGAUGGAUUUUGCUGUAAAAGCCACACCAUUAGACACAUCUCAACAGGAUCGCUAAUCAAACGAGAACAAAUCAAACUUGGGCCUUUGGUGCUUGUACCUCUGUGAUUGCUGCGUGUGGCUAUAUUAUAUCUUUAUGCCCUUAUUAGCAGUCCAAGCACAGCAUAGUGUUUGUGGAAGAGAUUUGUCGUUAGUUGUUUGAUGAAGGUUGAGAUGAUCUCAGCAGAUCAGAUGGAGGUUGAAUGCAGUGUUGGUGAAAGUUACUUUUAAAAGUAAUGCGUUACAAUAUUGUGUUACUCCAUAAAAAGUAACUAAUUGUGUUACUUAGGUACUUUUUAUGGAAAGGCCCUCUCAUGCCAAAAGUGAAAUGAUUAAGCCUCAGACUGAAUGAAAUGCCUUUUCCUCUGCGCCUCACUCCCAAUUUCUCUCAAUAUGGGGACAGGAGAGCUGUCGGUCAACAAAUGGGAAAACAAACUUAGGCUACUUAUUUCAAAAAGUAACUGUGAUAUUUGCUUCGUCUGUGAAGUGACUUUGUGCCCCAUUUUGAUUGAACCACUAGGUGGCGGAAUUUACUUUAGUGGCUAUUGAAAUAAUAUAGAUAUUUCUACUUCAUUUCUAUUUAUUUACACAUAAUCUGUUGAUAGUAGUCUUGCUGAAAUUAUACAAUACAUGCUUGUGAUUAUUAAAAAGAUGAAAUAACCUGCAUAGACUCAAUUCAGUUCACUGAUGUAAAUUAUUGAAUACGGUGAAUGGUACCAUCACAAUGAGGACACAAAUUCACUGUUCAGAACUUUCAUUGGGUCUCAACAUUUGAAAAGAUUUUUCUUUGUUGUUAUUUGCAUCUCUGUACUAAUCUAUUCUAGGCCACUUGUUAUGCAGCACUUUAUCGCAGAGCACGACUGUCGCUUCUGGAAGUUAAAAAUCCUUUUACUUUUCUUCACAGGGCAAUUGAUUUUUAGCUAUUCUGCACAGACCUUCAAGACAGACCAACCACAGACCCACAGUAGCAAAAUUUAAACGGACACACACUACUCACAAUCACGUCUGCGUUGUUUAAAUGCUGUAAAAGUGAACAUUUGUUGUACACCAAAUAAGAGCUGUAAAAAGCUCCCUCAUGAUCAUAUCUAUUCGUCUAUAUGACAAAUCUACAAAAACACAAACAAACAAACAAAGACUAUAAUAGUAAGUUUGGGAUAAAUUGCCACUUCGGAAUGGCUGAUGUCUUCAUUAUUGAAUUGUAUUUCUGUUUAUGUAAUUAUAAUUAAUUGAGAUAUUAUGCAAGUAGGCUACAGACAGUAUUAAACAUCAUUCUUCAUAACCAUCAGUUACGCCACAGACCAACUAAGUGCAAUUAUUCAGCCUGAAUUUAUAGCUUAUUGUCAUUAUAAUAACACCGGUUUAAUUAAAAAAUAUAGAUCUAUAUAUGAUUCAUAUGUUUUUCAGUUAAGAAGGUGCUGUUCCGUUUUCAGACUCAGUUUUGUUGGCAUAGGCAAUAUUUCUACAUUUGUAUUUUCAAAGCUUUUGCAGUGCUGCAGCAUACAGUUAAAGAAGUGAAAAAAUACAAUUCUGCAAAGCAACAUAAAACACAAAAUUAUGAAAAUAAGAAAAUAUAUUGACAAAGAAAGAUGAAAUGAAUGGCAGCAUAGAGAAUAGAAGGAAAUAUUAAAAACUACUCAUCGUUUUAGCCACUAGAUGCAAACAUUUUUUUUUUUUUUUUUUUGAUCCAAGAGAGCAAAGCAUUGGUAAGAAAAACUUCAAAUCACUGAAUAAUACCUUAAGACCACAUUAACUUUAAAAUGUAAUUAUGUUUCUUUUCUCGAAUAGUGUUGUUUGUUUGUUUUUUCCAAAUAAAAUUGAAAAUCCUUUAUAAGUUACCUAUACCU